AGACAACGGAGAUAAGAAGAACAUUCUAACUAAGAAGCCUUCUAAGAUUAAUCCCUGCAUUUGGAGAAGAUUAACAUCGCAGAAAGAUAAAUACUGGAAAUGACUGGACAAAGGCAGAAGAAAGUAGAGGAGAUUAAAUUAUCACCAGAGGAGAUAAAAAUGCAGAACAAGAGACACAGGACAGCAUACAAAUGUUU
Long non-coding RNA from Neoarius graeffei (lesser salmon catfish), 197 nucleotides. RefSeq lists it as uncharacterized. The transcript has 3 exons. The record is from RefSeq and is a predicted model, not a curated record. Lineage: Eukaryota; Metazoa; Chordata; Actinopteri; Siluriformes; Ariidae.